This 701-nucleotide ribosomal RNA is filed under the name Desmodora sp. 1 LM-2017. RNAcentral describes it as "SSU rRNA". It matches the Rfam family "Eukaryotic small subunit ribosomal RNA", at positions 136 to 924 of the family's 1831-position model. The record is from RNAcentral. Lineage: Eukaryota; Metazoa; Nematoda; Chromadorea; Desmodorida; Desmodoridae.
UACUUGGAUAACUGUGGUAAUUCUAGAGCUAAUACAUGCAGAAGGAGCGCAUUUAUUAGACCAAGACCAAUUCUGGUGACUCUGAAUAACUCACGGUCCUAGUACCGGUGACAUAUCUUUCAAGUGUCUGCCCUAUCAACUUUCGAUGGUAGUUUAUGUGCCUACCAUGGUGGUAACGGGUAACGGAGAAUAAGGGUUCGACUCCGGAGAGGGAGCCUGAGAAAUGGCUACCACAUCCAAGGAAGGCAGCAGGCGCGCAAAUUACCCACUCUCAGUGAGGAGGUAGUGACGAAAAAUAACGAGACGGUUCUCUAUGUCAUCGGAAUGGGUACAAUUUAAACCCUUUAACGAGGAUCUAUUGGAGGGCAAGUCUGGUGCCAGCAGCCGCGGUAAUUCCAGCUCCAAUAGCAUAUACCAAUACUGUUGCUGUUAAAAAGCUCGUAGUUGGAUCUCAAGGGGGGAGACUGUCUCAAGGACAUGCAGCUGGUUUUCCCCUGAUGCCUCUAACAGGGUGUCUUGGGUGGCUAGCACGUUUACUUUGAAAAAAUUAGAGUGCUCAGAACAGGCGUUACUCCUGAAUAGUGGUGCAUGGAAUAAUGGAAUAGGAGGUUCUAUUUUGUUGGUUUUAGGAGCGCGAGAUAAUGAUUAAGAGGGACAGACGGGGGCAUUCGUAUUGUGGCGUUAGAGGUGAAAUUCUUGGA